GCUCAGAUUGAACGCUGGCGGCAGGCCUAACACAUGCAAGUCGAGCGGUAGCACAGAGAGCUUGCUCUCGGGUGACGAGCGGCGGACGGGUGAGUAAUGUCUGGGAAACUGCCUGAUGGAGGGGGAUAACUACUGGAAACGGUAGCUAAUACCGCAUAACGUCGCAAGACCAAAGUGGGGGACCUUCGGGCCUCAUGCCAUCAGAUGUGCCCAGAUGGGAUUAGCUAGUAGGUGGGGUAACGGCUCACCUAGGCGACGAUCCCUAGCUGGUCUGAGAGGAUGACCAGCCACACUGGAACUGAGACACGGUCCAGACUCCUACGGGAGGCAGCAGUGGGGAAUAUUGCACAAUGGGCGCAAGCCUGAUGCAGCCAUGCCGCGUGUGUGAAGAAGGCCUUCGGGUUGUAAAGCACUUUCAGCGGGGAGGAAGGCGGUAAGGUUAAUAACCCUCGGCGAGUGACGUUACCCGCAGAAGAAGCACCG
This 483-nucleotide ribosomal RNA is filed under the name Klebsiella pneumoniae. RNAcentral's name for it is "bacterial SSU rRNA". It matches the Rfam family "Bacterial small subunit ribosomal RNA", at positions 22 to 495 of the family's 1533-position model. The record is from RNAcentral. Lineage: Bacteria; Pseudomonadati; Pseudomonadota; Gammaproteobacteria; Enterobacterales; Enterobacteriaceae.